GCCGCAUCGGUCAGAUCCGCGAUCGCUCAUCCUGAGGUGGGUUUACACUACAAUUGGCAAAGAAGAAUGGAGAAGGGACACACGAAGCUAAAGAUCGGCAUCAUCCAUCCUGACCUUGGAAUCGGUGGUGCUGAAAGGUUAGUUGUUGAUGCAGCUGUUGAGCUCACAUCAUAUGGCCACGAUGUCCAUGUUUUCACUGCACACCAUGACAGAACUCGUUGUUUUGAGGAGACUAUUUCUGGUCCGUUUCCGGUUAUGGUAUAUGGUAGCUUCCUA
Molecule: unclassified non-coding RNA, 276 nt
Filed under: Hevea brasiliensis (rubber tree)
Lineage: Eukaryota; Viridiplantae; Streptophyta; Magnoliopsida; Malpighiales; Euphorbiaceae
Source: RNAcentral